AAGCUCGUAGUUGAAUUUCGGGGUUAGUAGGUUGGUCAUGCCUCUGGUAUGUACUGGUCUCACUGAUUCCUCCUUCCUUAUGAACCGUAAUGCCAUUAAUUUGGUGUUGCGGGGAAUUUGGACUGUUACUUUGAAAAAAUUAGAGUGUUUAAAGCAAGCUAACGCUUGAAUACAUUAGCAUGGAAUAAUGGAAUAGGACGUUCGAUCUUAUUUUGUUGGUUUCUUAGGAUUGACGUAAUGAUUAAUAGGGAUAGUUGGG
Molecule: ribosomal RNA, 259 nt
Filed under: uncultured Glomus
Lineage: Eukaryota; Fungi; Glomeromycota; Glomeromycetes; Glomerales; Glomeraceae
Description: partial 18S ribosomal RNA
Rfam family: Eukaryotic small subunit ribosomal RNA
Source: RNAcentral